CCUACGGGAGGCUGCAGUGGGGAAUAUUGGACAAUGGGGGCAACCCUGAUCCAGCCAUGCCGCGUGUGUGAAGAAGGCCCUCGGGUUGUAAAGCACUUUCAGUGAGGAAGAACGGCUGGUGGUUAAUACCCAUCAGGAAAGACAUCACUCACAGAAGAAGCACCGGCUAACUCCGUGCCAGCAGCCGCGGUAAUACGGAGGGUGCGAGCGUUAAUCGGAAUUACUGGGCGUAAAGCGCGCGUAGGUGGCUUGAUAAGCCGGUUGUGAAAGCCCCGGGCUCAACCUGGGAACUGCAUCCGGAACUGUCAAGCUUGAGUGCAGGAGAGGAAGGUAGAAUUCCCGGUGUAGCGGUGAAAUGCGUAGAGAUCGGGAGGAAUACCAGUGGCGAAGGCGGCCUUCUGGACUGACACUGACACUGAGGUGCGAAAGCGUGGGUAGCAAACAGGAUUAGAUACCCGAGUAGUC
Molecule: ribosomal RNA, 465 nt
Filed under: Vreelandella stevensii
Lineage: Bacteria; Pseudomonadati; Pseudomonadota; Gammaproteobacteria; Oceanospirillales; Halomonadaceae
Description: partial 16S ribosomal RNA
Rfam family: Bacterial small subunit ribosomal RNA
Source: RNAcentral